GACGAGCGGCGGACGGGUGAGUAAUGUCUGGGAAACUGCCCGAUGGAGGGGGAUAACCACUGGAAACGGUGGCUAAUACCGCAUAACGUCUACGGACCAAAGAGGGGGACCUUCGGGCCUCUUGCCAUCGGAUGUGCCCAGAUGGGAUUAGCUAGUAGGUGGGGUAACGGCUCACCUAGGCGACGAUCCCUAGCUGGUCUGAGAGGAUGACCAGCCACACUGGAACUGAGACACGGUCCAGACUCCUACGGGAGGCAGCAGUGGGGAAUAUUGCACAAUGGGCGCAAGCCUGAUGCAGCCAUGCCGCGUGUGUGAAGAAGGCCUUCGGGUUGUAAAGCACUUUCAGCGAGGAGGAAGGCCAAUAGCUUAAUACGUUGUUGGAUUGACGUUACUCGCAGAAGAAGCACCGGCUAACUCCGUGCCAGCAGCCGCGGUAAUACGGAGGGUGCAAGCGUUAAUCGGAAUUACUGGGCGUAAAGCGCACGCAGGCGGUUUGUUAAGUCAGAUGUGAAAUCCCCGCGCUUAACGUGGGAACUGCAUUUGAAACUGGCAAGCUAGAGUCUCGUAGAGGGGGGUAGAAUUCCAGGUGUAGCGGUGAAAUGCGUAGAGAUCUGGAGGAA
Molecule: ribosomal RNA, 620 nt
Filed under: Serratia odorifera
Lineage: Bacteria; Pseudomonadati; Pseudomonadota; Gammaproteobacteria; Enterobacterales; Yersiniaceae
Description: bacterial SSU rRNA
Rfam family: Bacterial small subunit ribosomal RNA
Source: RNAcentral